AAGAGAGAUUUGAUGUGGACAGUGGGCUUGAUCCAAAAAAAUGGCCCAAUAUAGAUGUGUUAUUAAUAUUACUUGAUUGCCCUUAAUGAAACAUGCAAUGUUAGUAAAGAAAGGGUAGGCUAAGGUAAAAAGCACAAUAUGAUCCUGCUUUAAUAGUAUAGAUACGCUGUAAAUUUUGGAUGAAAGAUUUACAUACAAGAUAACUUUCUAUGUUUUAAAUUACAACAUAGGUCACUUUCUGCUCCAAGAGCACUUUUAUUGACUUUUGCAUACACAUACCCGACAUGAAUUUCCAACGUUGCCCUUCUUCUUUCAAACAAUUAUUUUUUAUAUUUCUAUCGAAACUUUCACCCACAUAUGUAAAAUUUCGUAAGUUCUUACAGACACCACUGAAAUAAAUUAAUAAACUUUAUCACUAAAUAUUUUCAUCCUCUUCUCUCUCCAUGUGACCACCGGAUCCGCCGGGUCUUUGAAUCUUUCCAAGGACUUCUUUGUUUAUUUACACCUCGUGUACUAAUCGGUUUUGCUAACCAAAAUUCUUACGAGCUUGAAUCUGAGAAAUCCAUAGCGUCCCCACUUGGUAAGCGUUCGAUCUCGGUAAUUAUCUUCAGACCUUUAUCUGAUAAGUAACUCCAGGUGGAUUGUUUUAUGUAUGCGAGGCUGGUAAUUUCGAUUACGCCCAUGCCGUACAAGAUUAAUAUGCUUGUGUUGUUGAGCUUCUAAGUGAUGCUGAAGAUAGCGUUAGAUUUUUCUGUAGUUCAUGGCUGUGUCGGGCAAAGUGUUGAUAGCAUCCAAGGAAGAGAAGAACGUAAUAGAGUGCAUUGAUGUUGUGUUUCUGAUCCAAGAACAUAAAGAUGCCCCUUAUUGACAAUUAAGAUUAAUAAAGAUUUGAUUUUGUGGAACUUUCUGUUAUAAGUUAUUGUUGUUUUGGCAGUAUGAUAUUGCCCUCUUUGUCUUUGCUAUAUUUGGUAGAUAUUUCAACACUAAGUCGCAAGCUUUUAUGUAAAAGUCAGUUACAUUCGUGCAAGGACAGAUGUCUGGUAUGUAAUUCUUACUUUUUUUUGUAUGUUACAAUGGUUAUUUGGGCAUUUUCCAUUA
Long non-coding RNA from Brassica napus (rape), 1098 nucleotides. RefSeq lists it as uncharacterized. The record is from RefSeq and is a predicted model, not a curated record. NCBI's taxonomy places the organism in Eukaryota, Viridiplantae, Streptophyta, Magnoliopsida, Brassicales, Brassicaceae. The transcript has 2 exons.